GGCUUAACACAUGCAAGUCGAGGGGCAGCAUGAAAGUAGCUUGCUACUUUUGAUGGCGACCGGCGCACGGGUGCGUAACGCGUAUCCAAUCUACCCAUGGCUCAGGGAUAGCCUUUCGAAAGAAAGAUUAAUACCUGAUGGUUUCGCUUUUCCGCAUGGUUUAGCGAAUAAAGAUUUAUCGGCGAUGGAUGAGGAUGCGACUGAUUAGGUUGUUGGCGGGGUAACGGCCCACCAAGCCCACGAUCAGUAGGGGUUCUGAGAGGAAGGUCCCCCACAUUGGAACUGAGACACGGUCCAAACUCCUACGGGAGGCAGCAGUGAGGAAUAUUGGUCAAUGGACGAGAGUCUGAACCAGCCAAGUAGCGUGAAGGAUGACGGCCCUAUGGGUUGUAAACUUCUUUUGUUUGGGAAUAAAGUGCUCUACGUGUAGAGUUUUGUAUGUACCUUACGAAUAAGCAUCGGCUAAUUCCGUGCCAGCAGCCGCGGUAAUACGGAAGAUGCGAGCGUUAUCCGGAUUUAUUGGGUUUAAAGGGAGCGUAGGCGGACCUUUAGUCAGCGGUAAAAUGUCUAUGUCCAACCCUGGCCCGCCGUUCAG
This 595-nucleotide ribosomal RNA is filed under the name uncultured rumen bacterium. Its description in RNAcentral is "bacterial SSU rRNA". It matches the Rfam family "Bacterial small subunit ribosomal RNA", at positions 45 to 631 of the family's 1533-position model. The record is from RNAcentral.